UCUGAUAUGGUGUAGUGGCCAACAUGAUGCCCUCUCAAGGCAUAGCCCCGAGUUCGAUUCUCGGUUUCGGAA
This 72-nucleotide transfer RNA is filed under the name Colletotrichum spaethianum. Its description in RNAcentral is "tRNA-Glu". It matches the Rfam family "tRNA". Rfam says of the family: Transfer RNA (tRNA) molecules are approximately 80 nucleotides in length. Their secondary structure includes four short double-helical elements and three loops (D, anti-codon, and T loops). Lineage: Eukaryota; Fungi; Ascomycota; Sordariomycetes; Glomerellales; Glomerellaceae. The record is from RNAcentral.